Etheostoma cragini (Arkansas darter) is the source of this 156-nucleotide long non-coding RNA. RefSeq lists it as uncharacterized. The transcript has 4 exons. The record is from RefSeq and is a predicted model, not a curated record. Lineage: Eukaryota; Metazoa; Chordata; Actinopteri; Perciformes; Percidae.
CAAUAUUCUUGUACUUUGCAUGAUGAAGGUCUAGUACGGAAACGCUGCCAGCUAUUACAUUUAUCUUUGCAAGUUAGACGGUGUGCGGGAGUUUUUGUGCCACUUUUGACCUACGCUUCCCUCUCCAACGCACCUGUCUCACGUUAGAUAAAUAGA